Molecule: ribosomal RNA, 251 nt
Filed under: uncultured bacterium
Lineage: Bacteria
Description: partial 16S ribosomal RNA
Rfam family: Bacterial small subunit ribosomal RNA
Source: RNAcentral
GUAUGGUGGCGGACGGGUGAGUAACACGUGAAGAACCUGCCCUUUAGACUGGGACAACUAGCUGAAAAGUUAGCUAAAACCGGAUAAGCCGACGAAUAGGCAUCUAUAUGUCGGAAAACACUAUAAGUGCUAAAGGAGGGCUUCGCGGUCUAUUAGUUAGUUGGUGGGGUAACGGCCUACCAAGGCAGCGAUAGAUAGCCGGCCUGAGAGGGUGAACGGCCACAAGGGAACUGAGACACGGUCCUUACUCC